GCUGGGCAUGGUGGCGUGUGCCUGUAGUCCCAGCUACUCAGGAGGUUGAGGUGGGAGGAUCGCUUGAGUCCAGGAGUCCUGGGCUGUGGCGCGCUGUGUGGAUGGGAUGUCUGCACUAAGUUCAGCAUCAAUGUGGUGACCUGGGAGUGGGGGACCACCAGGUUGCCUCAGGAGGGGUGAACCUUAGUAGGUCAAAGCUCCUGUGCUGCUCAGUAGUGUGAUCCUGCCUGUGAAUGGUCACUGUACUCCAGACUGGGCAACAAAGCAAGACCCCGUCUCAA
This 281-nucleotide signal recognition particle RNA is filed under the name Callithrix jacchus (white-tufted-ear marmoset). RNAcentral's name for it is "Metazoan signal recognition particle RNA (ENSCJAG00000038476.3)". It matches the Rfam family "Metazoan signal recognition particle RNA". Rfam says of the family: The signal recognition particle (SRP) is a universally conserved ribonucleoprotein. It is involved in the co-translational targeting of proteins to membranes. Lineage: Eukaryota; Metazoa; Chordata; Mammalia; Primates; Cebidae. The record is from Rfam by way of RNAcentral.